This 371-nucleotide ribosomal RNA is filed under the name uncultured bacterium. RNAcentral describes it as "bacterial SSU rRNA". It matches the Rfam family "Bacterial small subunit ribosomal RNA", at positions 523 to 898 of the family's 1533-position model. The record is from RNAcentral.
AUACAUAGGGGGCGAGCGUUAUCCGGAAUUAUUGGGCGUAAAGCGUACGUAGGCGGACUGUUAAGUCUGGUGUGAAAUCCCGCGGCUUAACCGCGGAGGGUCACUGGAAACUGGCAGGCUUGAGUACGGCAGGGGUAAGUGGAAUUCCAAGUGGAGCGGUGAAAUGCGUAGAUAUUUGGAGGAACACCAGUGGCGAAGGCGGCUUACUGGGCCGGAACUGACGCUGAGGUACGAAAGCGUGGGGAGCAAACAGGAUUAGAUACCCUGGUAGUCCACGCCGUAAACGAUGAGCACUAAGUGUCGGAUACAUAUUCGGCGCUGCAGUUAACACAUUAAGUGCUCCGCCUGGGGAGUACGGUCGCAAGACUGAA